Molecule: small RNA, 60 nt
Filed under: Arabidopsis thaliana (thale cress)
Lineage: Eukaryota; Viridiplantae; Streptophyta; Magnoliopsida; Brassicales; Brassicaceae
Description: ATSL243700
Source: RNAcentral
GGUUUCAGCUUUUGAGCUCUCAGAACCUGCCAGGUCAAUGAGGUUCUGCAGAUAUAAGUG